GGGGAAUAUUGCACAAUGGACGAAAGUCUGAUGCAGCAACGCCGCGUGGAGGAUGACACAUUUCGGUGCGUAAACUCCUUUUAUAUAGGAAGAUAAUGACGGUACUAUAUGAAUAAGCACCGGCUAACUCCGUGCCAGCAGCCGCGGUAAUACGGAGGGUGCAAGCGUUACUCGGAAUCACUGGGCGUAAAGAGCGUGUAGGCGGGUAUAUAAGUCAGAAGUGAAAUCCAAUAGCUCAACUAUUGAACUGCUUUUGAAACUGUAUACCUAGAAUGUGGGAGAGGUAGAUGGAAUUUCUGGUGUAGGGGUAAAAUCCGUAGAGAUCAGAAGGAAUACCGAUUGCGAAGGCGAUCUACUGGUACAUUAUUGACGCUGAGACGCGAAAGCGUGGGGAGCAAAC
This 400-nucleotide ribosomal RNA is filed under the name uncultured bacterium. Its description in RNAcentral is "bacterial SSU rRNA". It matches the Rfam family "Bacterial small subunit ribosomal RNA", at positions 356 to 773 of the family's 1533-position model. The record is from RNAcentral.